Molecule: ribosomal RNA, 253 nt
Filed under: uncultured bacterium
Lineage: Bacteria
Description: partial 16S ribosomal RNA
Rfam family: Bacterial small subunit ribosomal RNA
Source: RNAcentral
UACGGGGGGGGCAAGCGUUGUUCGGAAUUACUGGGCGUAAAGGGCUCGUAGGUGGCCAACUAAGUCGGACGUGAAAUCCCUCAGCUUAACUGGGGAACUGCGUCCGAUACUGGAUGGCUCGAGUUUGGGAGAGGGAUGCGGAAUUCCAGGUGUAGCGGUGAAAUGCGUAGAUAUCUGGAGGAACACCGGUGGCGAAGGCGGCGUCCUGGACCAACACUGACACUGAUGAGCGAAAGCCAGGGGAGCAAACGGG